CUUAUCUCUAGCAACCAACUUCAUUUGUAAGAUGUCAAUUACAGGACUGAUUUUUCUGGGAGACUUAGAAUCAUUAGAUAAUGACCAUGAGCCAAAGAUUCACUUUUGAGUUUGGUACGCACUGCUUGAAGGCUGGGUAUGACUAUAUGAUUGUUUUUUUUUUUUUUUCUCUCCCAGUUUGAACACAUUAAUUGGCAGAAGUUUCCCCUGUGAUCUUCCAGUACAACAUUCUUCCUGCAGCCACACCUGACCAGUGGGAGGACUGACUAAAUUCUUCAUCCUCUCCAUCCCAUGCCUUUACGUCUGCUGUGUCUCCCACGUGUUCGUGGAUCGUGCCUGAGGCUGGGACAGACAACUCACAACCAUGAAGAAAAGGCAAAGAGAAUCACAAAGAUGCCAGCCCAACGCUGGGAAGCUACUAGCCUACACCAAUGCUAACAACCAUCCAUUUAUGACUUCUUGUCAUGUGAGGAGAAUGAACCUUCUGUGUUUGGAAAAACGAAGGCUCAGAGACCCUGGAUCACCCAGUGAGUAAGCAGCAUGCCCAGGUCUAGCAUACCAUUCUCCUGCUUUCAGCUCUUGUAUGCUAUCCACAUGCUUACAGCAUGCUUGGACAAUGCAGAAACUCAGCUUUGGUACUUUGGGUAAUCUGUUCAUCUGUGAAAUGGGAUAACUCAUGCUGAUCUACGGACAAAAAUAACUGUAAGGAUGACAUGAAAUGAUGCAGAUAGCAGGCACUCAAAAAACAGAGCUCUAUCAACAUUCCUGCUUCCUCUCAAUGACUGGCACUGAACCGUCCUUAACACCCCAUUUCUAAGCCAAGAGAUUCUUCAAGACCAAGCCAAGUCUGCCGUGCCACUGUCCCCCGCAGGAGCCUCUGGCUUCAUCAAGCCCACAGAUCCACAGUUGCUUUGUUCGCCGAGUGACAUUUCUAUCAGGCACCACCUUGGGCUGGUCACAGAAACUUCGUAGGAGCCAUCAGUCCUGGAGCUCAGUACCCCAGGGUUGAUGCCUUGACAACUGUGUCACCACUCUCUUAUUACCUAUCUGGAGGGUCACCUUUCUGACAGACAGCUUUGAAAAUUCUUUAUUAAACUUUUUUUUUUUUUUAGUAGAAAAGACAGAUUAUAGUUCUGACAUGCUCUACUUAUUAUGACAUGAAACAAUGUUCUUAUUUCUUUUGCUUGGGGAUGUUGAACUGCUGGCUUUGGCCCAUGUGGGGUGUCACAAUGAUGUAUUAGUUAUUAGGUCAGACUUUCCGUAACCUUUACGUAUUCAUUUAUUCACUCACUCACUCACUUACUCACUCACUCACCUAUACAUUUGAAAGUCUACUGUGAACCGGGUCUAACAGAGGUUAGACAUUUAGUGGAUUACACAAAAAAAACAAAACAUUUACCCUCAGUCUUUGAUCUGAGGAUGUCCCAGUUUAAUAGGCAAUGCAAGGGGGCAAAAAAGAUAAAAUUUUACCGCCGUGGUAAGUGAAAUAAAAGACCUAUGUGUUGUACUUGGUAACAUAACUUUGGCAGGAUGGAAACCAGAAUUGGUAGUGUAUCUGUAGAGUGGGGUGCCUGGUUCACUCUGGAUGAUGACAGGUGGUACAGCAGCAGAGGCUGAAGACUAGAUUUUGUUGGAAUACUCUAUAAUCUGUGUAUAGGAGAAGGAAGAGGAGCUGAUCAUUCACAGUUGAAAUAAGCUGGUGACAGGUACUCCUCUCCAAAAGAAGGCCUGGGUGCCAGAUUUUGGGCUCAGAGUGACUUAAUAGUUCUGAUACACAUUUGAUAAAUAAUAUCACAAAGGCACCACUGAACAUCUGAAUAUAUGAACAGAGAGCUAUGAAAAAGGUAGUGACUAACCCUGCCAGGGGAGGUGUAGGAAGUGCCCCAGAAAAUAUGAUAUUUGAAGAGGGCAUUAAGCAUUCAGAGGGCAUUAAGCAUCCAUGAGAAGCGGAAGUAUGGCAUCUGAGCAGAGCAAAGGUGAAGGUGACAUGCUCUGAGAAGGAUGAGGAUUUCUUCAGAACAAAGUAUGAUUGGGGGCUGGGGUGGGAGGUGAAGCUCAGGGCACGUUGGGACCAUUUUAACACCAGGUCAUGGAGUCCAGGCUUUCUCUUCAGUAGGACUUGCUGGGCUGGUGGCUGGUUUAUGCAGAGGAGUGUUAUGAGAGACUGGAGUGCAGACAAAUCUCUCUGCGGGCGGUAUGGGUUUAUGGGAGGGUAGACUGAAAGCUCAGAGACACAAGGCAAAGAAACAGGUCAGGUGGCUACUACAACCACCCAAAAAGAGAAGCUGGGAGACCUUCCCUCAGGUUUCAAUCCAGCUAAGGCCAGUAAAACCCAUGUGUUCAUUUAGGAGACUCUUGUAUAUUUAUUAAAUAAAUAAACAAAAGAGAAAAGGCCAGGGAUCAAUGAGUUUCUUAAACAAAAAUUUAAAAGGCAAAACUAAGAUAUGUUAAAUAACACCUAGUAGAAUUUAAAGUGUACAUACUUUGUGGAAUAAAUGCAUAAAGACAUCAGAAAUAAUCAAGUAUGGAAUAAGGGUAUGGGUCUAGUGAAACAGGGCACUGAAAAAGCUGUAAACUUCCCAGGCAGAAACCUCUGCUCUCAUCCUGAGUCUGUUUUCAUUUAUGUAUCAUGUGAUAUCAUGUAUCAUGUGCAAUACAUGUGAUUAGUAAUUUGACUCACCCCCUCAGUAAAAGUCACAGUUCCUGUUUACCGAGCACCUGCUAGGCUUAAUCAUGCACAAUGCUCAGGAUACCACCUAUAUUAUCUCAGCCAAUCUGAACAACAAUGGCAAAGCAGGCUUUAUCAGGCCUGAGGUUCAGAGAGUUUAGGGAUUUACCCAAGGUUGCGGAGCAGUCAGCAGAAUUGAGAUUUGACCCUGAUCUAUCCAGCUGUGGAAAGAUUCUCUGCGACGGUACAUCCUCUGCGAUGGUGCGCCCUAGGCAGUAGAAACCACAGAAGAAAGCCAGAAAACCAGCCAGAUAGAUGGCUGCUGAAACAAUUCAAGAGAGACAUGAUGAUCUACUAUAAUGGCGGUGGAGAACAGAUAGAAAUAAGAAGUCUGUGGCUCAGAGAGACAAAGAGUUUUUUUUAAAAACACACAGCAAACAAGAAGCGGAAUCAGGAUUUGACUCUGUAUCCAACUGACACCCAAACACCAAAUUUUCCAUCAUCUAUGCUUGUUGAAGUUUUUAAUGUAAUAUUCACUCAAUUCCUUUUUAAUAUGCAAGAACUCACAGAAACCCACACAGCCUCCAUAGGAGAACUGGUAUUUAAGCAGUCUCUGCAAAAUCAUAAUAAGGAGGAGGUAAAAGACCAUUCCACUGAAGAGGAGAUGGAAAAAAAGGAGUUUUAGAAAUCUCUCUGCAUGAAUAGAGGAUCUGUUAUUAAAGGCUAUUUUAGGAAGCAAGAAUGGAAGAAUCUGCUCCUCUCCUUUCCCAUUUCCUGGUUCUUGCAUAUCCAUCAAGGAAUCCAUCCAAUGGGCCCUUUGACACAGCUGGGAUAAUGCAGGAAAUCAGCAUUAUUCUUAGCUUACUGAAUGAAUGAUAUGGUGAAGACUCAAAAGCAGAGUCUCCAAGGGAAAUUUAAAAAAGCAUGGAAGUUUUAGGUGGGAGAAUGAAUGACUCAGCAUGCAUGUUAGAAGACUUUCAAGUAUUUGGAGGGUUCUCAUUUGGAAGGUGUAAAACCAGGACAACAACUCUGAAGAAGAUUAGAUUUCCUCUUAGGGUUCAUAUGUAGAAAUCACCAAGAAACAAGAUUCUUCAGAACUGACAUGAGAGAAGAACUUCCUCAAUCACAUGGUGGAAGGCAAUGAGCUGCCUGUAACGGGAAAUACUCCAAUAAAGGUGGUGUGACCACUUGGUGGAGAUGUUGUAGAGAAAAUUCAAGAACUGUAAAGGCCUUUAAAAUCCCUGACAUCGCAGGCUCCUCUGAUUCUGGGAGCUGCACUGAAUCCAAAUGAAUAAUACUAAAACCAUAUUUACCAUAGUCAUUAUCAUGUCUCUAGACAUCUGAGGAGAUGGAUGUUGUCUUUACUGUUUAGAUGGGAGCAUCUAGUCAGGAAUAGAAUCCAAUCACACUAGGAACCAAAUGGACUAGCCACUGAGGUAUAGCAAAUCAGAGUCCCUUAGGGGAGAAGAUGAGUCAUAGAUCAUAAUCCUCACUGGUGUUGUUACAGUCUUCCUGCGCUACAUAGCAUUGAAAUAGGCUGGAAAUGUUCUGUCCUUGGGGUGAUAAAAUAUUCCUUGGUAAGCACACAGAUUCAUUUUCCUAAAGCAAAUGAAUCACUUGUGCUUUUCUUCUCAUAUUUUUUAUCAACAGGGUAAGAACCCUGCCUGUGAAAAAAUCUGUCUAAAAAAUAAGUGUAUAUUUCAAGAGGGACUAUACAAAGAGUAAACACAUGGCAGGUCUCAUGCCAGAGGUCAAACCAGGUUCAACAUAUUUGCAUAUUUUGAUGGGAGCUGUAGAAUAAGGACUACCAAAAUGUACACUUGUUGUGUCAACCCUAAGGGUCUAAAUUUGAACACAAACGGCUUUAGGUAUUGAAGGGAAAACUGUUGCCCAAAGUAUGAAUUCUAUCUAAUAACUCAAUCCUCUAUUGUUUCCCUCUUGGGGUUUAGUAUGCCCACACUGAGAUUUGAAUGCUAAAUCUAGGUCAAACAGAAAUUUGCUCAAGUAUUCCCAGUUCUGAGGACUCGGAAGCUGCUCUGAAAACACUUGUGCUGAAUGACGGCAUUUUACAGAGGCAAUAUGCACUGCAUCUAUUCUUUGAAAAAAUUUUUUUGAGUUCUUUCUCUAUGUCAAGUAUUCUGCUGGGCCUAGGAAUGGGGAGGAUGAGGUAUGGGCCCUUCCUUCAACUAGCUCAUAAUGGUGUGCAGACAGAUUUACAGUGAUAUAAUUCAGUGUUUUUAGUGCUGCAAGAGAGGUAUUUAUAAUGAACAAUGGUUAUGUAAAGAAAGGAAAAAUUGACCAUUUGCUCUGUGUAUUUGGGGGGAAGGUGAGGUUUGUAGGAAAAAGUUUAUCAAAAGAGUUAACAUGUAACCUGUAAGCUGGAUGUUGAAGUUUAUCCUUUCUUAUAUAGGUGAAAGAUGGGACAGUAUUCCAGAGAGAAGGAGGAGAAUAUGCAAAUGUGCCAUUUGUGGAAAAGUGUAUAUAUUUAGGAAAAUGUUAAUAUGGCUAGUCCAUGGGGUUGUACAGGAGACGGGGCUGGGAAGUAGGAGAGGAGAGUGAGUGAUUUUUUUUUACAAACAUGAUCCUUUGGCUAUGGGGAAGAAAAACAAAUACAAAAAGGUUUUAAAGAGGAAAGAGACAUGAUCAGGUUUUAUGAUUUAUAAAUGUAUGUGUCCAUACAGGGAGACUGGAUUGCAAGGGAAAAAAUGGAAUCUGGAAGCAUGAUUAAAAGUUGAUUACAAAAUUUAUAAGUUGGGUAAAAUCUAGUGGUGGUAAGCCUAUGGAGAAACAGAUAUUCUCAUACACUUUUGGUAGAAACGUAAAUUGGUAUAACUUUUUGGAAGACAAUUUGCUAACAUGUAGCAACUUCACUUUUAGCAUUUAUCUUAUAGAUAUAUUCACACACACACAAUGUGACAUUUAGUUGACAACCUAAAUGUCCAUCAAUAGGGAACUACAUUUAUACAAUGUAAUAGGCUGAAAUCAUAAAAGCAGAAUGAGGUGGAGAUUUACAUAUAGAUAUGGAAAAAUGGUGAAGGUCUAUAGUUAAGGGAAAAGUAUGAUUUGCAGUACAGGUUAUAGACAAACAGAUUGGCAGACAGAUAGACAUAAAAUUGGUAACCAUCGUGUUAAAAAUAACUAGAAAAGCUAAGUCAAAACAAACAAACAAAAAUAUAGUUUGAAGGAAGUGGAGACCUUCCAAGUCAUUGAAAAAUUAUAGGUCUAAGAUCCUGGAAAACAAAGAGAUUGGGAGAAACAAGCCUGGUAUUUGAAGUAGCUUUUU
Molecule: long non-coding RNA, 5951 nt
Filed under: Homo sapiens (human)
Lineage: Eukaryota; Metazoa; Chordata; Mammalia; Primates; Hominidae
Description: HSALNT0178823
Source: RNAcentral